Molecule: ribosomal RNA, 450 nt
Filed under: uncultured bacterium
Lineage: Bacteria
Description: bacterial SSU rRNA
Rfam family: Bacterial small subunit ribosomal RNA
Source: RNAcentral
GUUAGGAAUAUUCGUCAAUGGAGGAAACUCUGAACGAGCAAUGCCGCGUGAGUGAUGAAGGUCUUAUAGAUUGUAAAACUCUGUUGUAUGGAAAAAACGACUAGGUUAGGAAAUGAACUUAGUGUGAUGGUACCAUACCAGAAAGCCCCGGCUAACUACGUGCCAGCAGCCGCGGUAAUACGUAGGGAGCAAGCGUUAUCCGGAUUUAUUGGGUGUAAAGCGUGUGUAGGCGGUUACUUAAGUCUGUGGUUUAAGGCUGGAGCUCAACUCCAGUUCGCCAUGGAAACUGAGUUACUUGAGUAUGGUAGAGGCAAGUGGAAUUUCUAGUGUAGCGGUGGAAUGCGUAGAUAUUAGAAGGAACACCAGUGGCGAAAGCGGUUUGCUGGGCCGUUACUGACGCUGAGGCACGAAAGCGUGGGGAGCAAAUAGGAUUAGAAACCCGAGUAGUCC